UAUCUGUCUAGCCGAUGACCUUUCAAAGAAAAAGCCAUAUCAGUCGAGGCGACGCGAGCUGCGAGAUCCGAACCGAGGCGAUGCGCGCAAGGGGAUCCGGCGCGGGAGGGGCUGAAGCCGACGUGACACGCGCGAGGGAUCCAGCUGACGCGAGCUUCGUUCGAGGGGAUCCACUUCUCCGCAUCCAUUGAUCCCCUCCUCUACCUCGGAAACAAGCCUCCUCCCUCUCGCCCCGGAUUCCAAUGGGUUGCGCCGGCAUCGCCACCGACAUCCCUGUAGAUCUUCUUCCCUUGGUUCACUUGAUUCCAAGGCGGCGAACCCUAAACGGCAUGAGACGACAGUGAAUCAGUGAUGAAGCCCUUCUCUUGUGGUGGUGUGAAGUGACGACAUAAAGCAAGUCCCUCUCCCUCUCAAUUCCUCUCCUCUCGCGGGGUGAAUAUUUGUGUUCUGCCACCUUGGUAUUGUCUGCCACCGCCGUGGUAGUGCCCAUGUCUCUUCUCCAGUCAGUCACAUCGUGCUAUGAUGCACACAACCUCAAGUCUGGGAAGCAAAGCAACCCUGCUCACUCUUACAUAAUGCCAAUUCGUGUCAAGAGCCCUUUGCUGGCAACUCACUGGAUGUAGAAACCCAAGUGGACGCAGCUGCUGAGCCCUAAAUUGUUGUUUUUUGUGACAAUUAUCGGUAUGUAUUUACAUCAGCCAGAACAUCUUAUAUGGGUGUCUUGUCGUAAUAUUUCUACCUGGCAAAGAUUUCGUAUUGAUUCUUGAAUUUUACCAGGUCCUUUCCUACUUUUACCAUUCAAUUAUUACAAUCAUUGUGUGUAUCAUAUUUGUUUUCAGGUGAGCCUUGAAACAUACUCCCUUUGUAUCAAAAUAUAAGAUGUUUUUUGACACUGGAGUAUAUGGCUUGCCAAUCCCAUCAUGAUUGCGAAUAUAUAUGCUGUUUGCUGCUGGAGAAAAAUAAAUUUGCAGUCCAUUGAUUGAGUGCAUUACAAUAAUAAUUUCCAACCGUCACAUGAAACAAGGAAAUAUUUUCACGUGACUUCCUGUUUUGUCAGAUAUAACAAGGAAACAUCCACAUCAAUUUUGUUCUUGAUAUAUUUUAUAUUGGUUUAUAGCUCACUGAUCAUACCAUUUUUUAUUUGUGAUAUAAGAAUAUUUACCUUCUCAAACUUCCAUUUUGUUGGGAUUGUAUUAUGCUCAAUUAAUUCGAUAGAAAUAUACCCAGAGUACGAUAAACAAGGAAACAAAGCACACUCGCAUAAUUAAAUUAGCUUUGCCAAGGAUAUAGGGCAAAACUUCCUCGUGUAGAUCUUCUGCUUGUAUUGCACUAAGCUCUUGGUUACCAUUUGGAAUCUUAUUCCAGGAUCCAUGUUAAUCCCAUACAUAUUUCCGAGCUUCUAGGAUGACUGGAAUAUUACCUCUGAAGGAGCCUUACAUGCUUAUUUUUCUGCUGUUUAUGUCUUGGUACUGAUUAGUUGUAAUUACUACAAACAUUGUUGUGUAUCAGUGAAUAAUAUAUGUUUAUUUUUUAUACCAAGCCAUUUGCAUCAGUGAACCUUGAGAUUUCCCUUGAAUAAUAUAUCUUUGUGUUCAUGCAAAUUUAAUGUGCUUAAUGUGACAUUGAUUUUAUAAAUUUUUGAUAAUUUUAUCGUAUAAAUAGAUGGGCGUGGCAACGCGCGCCGUCAAUGAUCUAGUACAGUAUAAUUUUUUGACAUGGGCUGCGUGAUAUUUGGACGGGGACGGUGGUGUGGGAGGUGGGCACGGCCGCACGGGGAUAGAUUUUUUCUCAGGGAACAAGGAGGUUAGCUAUAAGUCUGGGGGAGAUUAGAUGAUUUGCCCCACUUUACAAGGGGUUAGAUGAUUUGCCCCAGGGUUGUCUCAAUGACCAGUGGCCCCGGCCCCACCCGGCAGCCUCUCGGGGAGGGGGGGCAAAUUAUCUAAGUGGGAAGUAAAGUGGGGCAAAAGAUCCAAUUUUCCGUUCUUGUUGUAGUGAUUACUUUAGAUGAACCAUUGAUGAUCAAUUCGAACCAGUGCAUGCAAUUAAAAUUAAUUUUACCUAAAUAGAGGGUGCAAAAUAAACUAC
Molecule: long non-coding RNA, 2085 nt
Organism: Aegilops tauschii subsp. strangulata
Lineage: Eukaryota; Viridiplantae; Streptophyta; Magnoliopsida; Poales; Poaceae
Source: RefSeq, a predicted model, not a curated record